UACGAAGGGGGCGAGCGUUGUUCGGAAUUACUGGGCGUAAAGGGCGCGCAGGCGGCCCUUGAAGUCAGGCGUGAAAGCCCCCGGGCUCAACCUGGGAGGUGCGCUUGAUACUCGAGGGCUUGAGUGCGGGAGAGGAGAGUGGAAUUCCCAGUGUAGAGGUGAAAUUCGUAGAUAUUGGGAAGAACACCGGUGGCGAAGGCGGUUCUCUAGGACGGUACUGACGCUGAGACGCGAAAGCGUGGGGAGCGAACAGG
RNAcentral lists this ribosomal RNA (254 nucleotides) under uncultured bacterium. Its description in RNAcentral is "partial 16S ribosomal RNA". It matches the Rfam family "Bacterial small subunit ribosomal RNA", at positions 524 to 776 of the family's 1533-position model. The record is from RNAcentral.